UACGAAGGGUGCAAGCGUUACUCGGAAUUACUGGGCGUAAAGGGUGCGUAGGUGGUUGUUUAAGUCUGUUGUGAAAGCCCCGGGCUCAACCUGGGAAUGGCAAUGGAUACUGGACAGCUAGAGUGCGGUAGAGGGUAGUGGAAUUCCCGGUGUAGCAGUGAAAUGCGUAGAGAUGUGGAGGAACACCGAUGGCGAAGGCAGCCCCCUGGGCUAACACUGACGCUCAUGCACGAAAGCGUGGGGAGCAAACAGG
This 253-nucleotide ribosomal RNA is filed under the name uncultured bacterium. RNAcentral's name for it is "partial 16S ribosomal RNA". It matches the Rfam family "Bacterial small subunit ribosomal RNA", at positions 524 to 776 of the family's 1533-position model. The record is from RNAcentral.